This 793-nucleotide long non-coding RNA is filed under the name Homo sapiens (human). Its description in RNAcentral is "non-protein coding lnc-UPK3BL2-1:5". Lineage: Eukaryota; Metazoa; Chordata; Mammalia; Primates; Hominidae. The record is from RNAcentral.
AUGAACGCCCCUCCAGCCUUCGAGUCGUUCUUGCUCUUCGAGGGCGAGAAGUAAGUGACGCCGGCUGCGGAGGGCCGAGGAUCACCAUUAACAAGGACACCAAGGUACCCAAUGCCUGUUUAUUCACCAUCAACAAAGAAGACCACACACUGGGAAACAUCAUUAAAUCACAACUCCUAAAAGACCCGCAAGUGCUAUUUGCUGGCUACAAAGUCCCCCACCCCUUGGAGCACAAGAUCAUCAUCCGAGUGCAGACCACGCCGGACUACAGCCCCCAGGAAGCCUUUACCAACGCCAUCACCGACCUCAUCAGUGAGCUGUCCCUGCUGGAGGAGCGCUUCCGGACGUGCCUGCUUCCCCUUCGCCUUCUGCCGUGAUUGUCAGUUUCCUGAGGCCUCCCCAGCCACGCUUCCUGUACAGCCUGCAGAACUCUGCCCCAGAGCACAUCAGCUAUGUGCCCCAGCUCUCAAACGACACCUUGGCGGGGAGGCUCACCCUGUCCACCUUCACGCUGGAGCAGCCUCUAGGCCAGUUCAGCAGCCACAACAUCUCUGACUUGGAUACCAUCUGGCUGGUGGUGGCCCUCAGCAACGCCACCCAGAGCUUCACGGCCCCACGGACAAACCAGGACAUCCCUGCUCCUGCCAACUUCUCCCAGAGGGGCUACUAUCUCACACUGAGGGCCAACCGGGUGCUGUACCAGACCAGAGGCCAGCUCCAUGUCCUCCGCGUCGGCAAUGAUACCCACUGCCAACCAACAAAAAUUGGCUGCAACCAUCCCCUACCAGGACCC